Molecule: ribosomal RNA, 252 nt
Filed under: uncultured bacterium
Lineage: Bacteria
Description: partial 16S ribosomal RNA
Rfam family: Bacterial small subunit ribosomal RNA
Source: RNAcentral
CGGGGUGAGUAACGCGUGAGGAACCUGCCUUUCAGUGGGGGACAACAGUUGGAAACGACUGCUAAUACCGCAUAACGUACUGGUAUCGCAUGGUACUGGUACCAAAGAUUUAUCGCUGAGAGAUGGCCUCGCGUCUGAUUAGCUAGUUGGUAGGGUAACGGCCUACCAAGGCGACGAUCAGUAGCCGGACUGAGAGGUUGGCCGGCCACAUUGGGACUGAGAUACGGCCCAGACUCCUACGGAAGGCAGCAG